GACGAACGCUGCGGCGGUGCCUAAUACAUGCAAGUAGAACGCUUGAAGAGAGGAGCUUGCUUCUUCUUGGAUGAGUUGCGAACGGGUGAGUAACGCGUAGGUAACCUGCCUGGUAGCGGGGGAUAACUUAUUGGAAACGGUAGCUAAUACCGCAUGAAAUUAAUUGUCGCAUGAUAAUUAAUUGAAAGAUGCAAUUGCAUCACUACCAGAUGGACCUGCGUUGUAUUAGCUAGUUGGUGAGGUAACGGGCUCACCAAGGCGACGAUACAUAGCCGACCUGAGAGGGUGAUCGGGCCCACACUUGGGACUUGAGACC
Molecule: ribosomal RNA, 316 nt
Filed under: Streptococcus sanguinis
Lineage: Bacteria; Bacillati; Bacillota; Bacilli; Lactobacillales; Streptococcaceae
Description: bacterial SSU rRNA
Rfam family: Bacterial small subunit ribosomal RNA
Source: RNAcentral